Molecule: ribosomal RNA, 190 nt
Filed under: uncultured bacterium
Lineage: Bacteria
Description: partial 16S ribosomal RNA
Rfam family: Bacterial small subunit ribosomal RNA
Source: RNAcentral
CCUACGGGAGGCAGCAGUGGGGAAUAUUGCGCAAUGGGCGAAAGCCUGACGCAGCCACGCUGCGUGAGCGAUGAAGGCCUUCGGGUCGUAAAGCUCUGUGGGGAGAGAAGAAUAAAGCCUGUGAAGAAUGGGCCUUGACGGUAUCUCCUUAGCAAGCACCGGCUAACUCCGUGCCAGCAGCCGCGGUAAU